AACGAACGCUGGCGGCAUGCCUAACACAUGCAAGUCGAACGAGCCCUUCGGGUCUAGUGGCGCCCGGGUUCGUCACGCGUGGGAACAUGCCCUUAGGUUCGGCAUAACUCUCCGACAGGGGUGCUAAUACCGGACAGUGUCUUCGGCCCAAAGAUUUAUCGCAUUUGGAUGGGCCCGCGUUUGAUUAGCUAGUUGGUAGGGUAACAGCCUACUAAGGCGCCGAUGCGUAGGUGGUCUGAGAGGGUGAUCAGCCACACUGGGACUGAGACACGGCCCAGACUCCUACGGGAGGAAGCAGUAGGGAAUCUUCCGCAAUGGGCGAAAGCCUGACGGAGCAACGCCGCGUGAGUGAUGAAGGUCUUCGGAUCGUAAAACUAUGUUAUUAGGGAAGAACAAAUGUGUAAGUAACUAUGCACGUCUUGACGGUACCUAAUCAGAAAGCCACGGCUAACUACGUG
Molecule: ribosomal RNA, 458 nt
Filed under: uncultured bacterium
Lineage: Bacteria
Description: partial 16S ribosomal RNA
Rfam family: Bacterial small subunit ribosomal RNA
Source: RNAcentral